CACGUAGGGGGCGAGCGUUGUCCGGAUUCAUUGGGCGUAAAGGGCGCGUAGGCGGCUGGGGAAGUCGGCGGUGAAAGCCCGGAGCUCAACUCCGGGUCGGCCGUCGAGACUCCUCGGCUCGAGCUCACUAGAGGCAGAUGGAAUUCCGGGUGUAGCGGUGGAAUGCGUAGAGAUCCGGAAGAACACCGGUGGCGAAGGCGGUCUGCUGGGGUGAGGCUGACGCUGAUGCGCGACAGCGUGGGGAGCAAACAGG
Molecule: ribosomal RNA, 253 nt
Filed under: uncultured bacterium
Lineage: Bacteria
Description: partial 16S ribosomal RNA
Rfam family: Bacterial small subunit ribosomal RNA
Source: RNAcentral